RNAcentral lists this ribosomal RNA (228 nucleotides) under Apatania fimbriata. Its description in RNAcentral is "partial 18S ribosomal RNA". It matches the Rfam family "Eukaryotic small subunit ribosomal RNA", at positions 847 to 1073 of the family's 1831-position model. Lineage: Eukaryota; Metazoa; Arthropoda; Insecta; Trichoptera; Apataniidae. The record is from RNAcentral.
UUUCUGAUACCAGAGGUAAUGAUUAAUAGGGACGACUAGGGGGCAUUCGUAUUGAGACGUUAGAGGUGAAAUUCUUGGAUCGUCGCAAGACGGACUAAAGCGAAAGCAUUUGCCAAAGGUGUUUUCAUUAAUCAAGAACGAAAGUUAGAGGUUCGAAGGCGAUUAGAUACCGCUGUAGUUCUAACCAUAAAUGAUGCCAGCCAGCGAUCCGCCGAAGUUUCAUAAUUU